This 253-nucleotide ribosomal RNA is filed under the name uncultured bacterium. Its description in RNAcentral is "partial 16S ribosomal RNA". It matches the Rfam family "Bacterial small subunit ribosomal RNA", at positions 524 to 776 of the family's 1533-position model. The record is from RNAcentral.
UACGUAGGGUGCAGGCGUUAAUCGGAAUUACUGGGCGUAAAGCGUGCGCAGGCGGUUUGCUAAGACAGGUGUGAAAUCCCCGGGCUUAACCUGGGAACUGCGCUUGUUACUGACAAGCUUGAGUGUGGCAGAGGGGGGUGGAAUUCCACGUGUAGCAGUGAAAUGCGUAGAGAUGUGGAGGAACACCGAUGGCGAAGGCAGCCCCCUGGGCUAACACUGACGCUCAUGCACGAAAGCGUGGGGAGCAAACAGG